RNAcentral lists this ribosomal RNA (433 nucleotides) under uncultured bacterium. Its description in RNAcentral is "partial 16S ribosomal RNA". It matches the Rfam family "Bacterial small subunit ribosomal RNA", at positions 29 to 507 of the family's 1533-position model. The record is from RNAcentral.
AACGAACGCUGGCGGCAUGCCUAACACAUGCCAGUCGAACGAGACCUUCGGGUCUAGUGGCGCACGGGUGCGUAACGCGUGGGAACCUGCCCUUAGGUUCGGAAUAACUCCCCGAAAGGGGUGCUAAUACCGGAUAAUGUCUUCGGACCAAAGAUUUAUCGCCUUUGGAUGGGCCCGCGUUGGAUUAGCUAGUUGGUAGGGUAAAAGCCUACCAAGGCGACGAUCCAUAGCUGGUCUGAGAGGAUGAUCAGCCACACUGGGACUGAGACACGGCCCAGACUCCUACGGGAGGCAGCAGUGGGGAAUAUUGGACAAUGGGCGAAAGCCUGAUUCAGCAAUGCCGCGUGAGUGAUGAAGGCCUUAGGGUUGUAAAGCUCUUUUACCCGGGAUGAUAAUGACAGUACCGGGAGAAUAAGCUCCGGCUAACUCCGUG